RNAcentral lists this ribosomal RNA (253 nucleotides) under uncultured bacterium. Its description in RNAcentral is "partial 16S ribosomal RNA". It matches the Rfam family "Bacterial small subunit ribosomal RNA", at positions 524 to 776 of the family's 1533-position model. The record is from RNAcentral.
UACGGAGGGAGCUAGCGUUGUUCGGAAUUACUGGGCGUAAAGCGCACGUAGGCGGCUUUGUAAGUUAGAGGUGAAAGCCCGGGGCUCAACUCCGGAACUGCCUUUAAGACUGCAUCGCUUGAAUCCAGGAGAGGUGAGUGGAAUUCCGAGUGUAGAGGUGAAAUUCGUAGAUAUUCGGAGGAACACCAGUGGCGAAGGCGGCUCACUGGCUCGGUACUGACGCUGAGGUGCGAAAGCGUGGGGAGCAAACAGG